RNAcentral lists this ribosomal RNA (226 nucleotides) under uncultured bacterium. Its description in RNAcentral is "partial 16S ribosomal RNA". It matches the Rfam family "Bacterial small subunit ribosomal RNA", at positions 15 to 231 of the family's 1533-position model. The record is from RNAcentral.
GAUCCAUGGCUCAGGAUGAACGCUAGCUACAGGCUUAACACAUGCAAGUCGAGGGGCAGCAUGGUCUUAGCUUGCUAAGGCCGAUGGCGACCGGCGCACGGGUGAGUAACACGUAUCCAACCUGCCGUCUACUCUUGGACAGCCUUCUGAAAGGAAGGUUAAUACAAGAUGGCAUCAUGAGUCCGCAUGUUCACAUGAUUAAAGGUAUUCCGGUAGACGAUGGGGA